Molecule: long non-coding RNA, 2016 nt
Filed under: Homo sapiens (human)
Lineage: Eukaryota; Metazoa; Chordata; Mammalia; Primates; Hominidae
Description: HSALNT0298189
Source: RNAcentral
CUAAGUUCUUGUAUUUUUAGUAGAGACAGGGUUUCACCGUGUUAGCCAGGAUGGUCUCGAUCUCCUGACCUCGUGAUCUGCCCACCUUGGCCUCCCAAAGUGCUGGGAUUACAGGCACCAGUUGCAUGUUUACAGCACAUCUCAUUUCAGGCUUAUCACCUCCCAACUGCUCACCUGUGGCUCAUGGCCACUGCACAGGCUGGGCAGCUGUGGACUGUGCAGCUCCCCGUCCAGGAAUGGAGAUUAUCAGGAGUCAGCCUAAGUCCUAUCAUUUUUCUCUUCUAUCUUAUCACUAUCUCUUCUUGGAGGGCCUCGGAUGUGUCUGGCCACUUCCUGCCAGGGCCAUUCCCUGAUGCUGCCAACCUUUCCCAGAAAAGGAGUGGCUCCUAGAAAGACAAGGCCUACCGAGAAAUGCAGAGGGGCAGGAAGUGAGCCAUUUCGAGGGCACUCCUGUGUCACCCUGUGCUGUUGGAGUCGCCGAGGAUACAGUGUACAGGUAGCGGGAUAGCCGGUUGCCAGCACAGGCUGGGUUGAGAAACCUCCAAGGUUGACACUGCUGUUCAGGUGAAGGAGAGUUCAGAGUCUCAGAGAGCAGCAGCAGCUUGUGCUUCUGGGAAAAUGGAAGGAUGACUCCCAGGCAGCCGAUCCUGCCACUCCGUAAAAUGGAAGAACCUUGGCUCCCCGUGUGAAUUCUCUUUGUGAUUUGGAAGACAAAUACCUCUGCUGAGUUGUCUAUGAACAGGAUGGUAUCCCCUCAAGCAUUACUGGCCUUGUUCCACUAUGUCAAAUGUAUGCAGCAGAGAAAGGGGAUACACCAGCAGCUGGAGUGGCUGAGCGGAAGGAAGGACACUAGAACAUAUUAAUCCCAUUUUAAGCAACAGGCACUGUGUUAAGUGAUUUCAGAUACAAUACCACAUUUAAUCCUCAUAACAAGCUUGCAAGGAGAACAUUGUCACGACUGUAUUCAUACAUGAAGAAACUGAGGCUCGGAGACAUUAAGAUUUGAGCCAGGAUCUGUGUUCUUCCAAAGCCCAUGGGUCAGAAAUGCCAGCUGAUUCUGGUUCCAGCUAGAACUACCAGACAUCUUAGGCCAGGUCUCAGGAAUCCUUGAGGCAAAAAUCUGCAUAACAUUGAGGCCAAAGAUGAGCCUAAUGGAGUUGGACCUACCCAUUUAGUGGUAGACUUCUUUAUUGGCAAAAUAUUCUGUCAAGAUCUCCCCUGAUGGACAAGUCAAAAUUCUUUCCAACAUAACAAAGACCUAUUGUCAUCAUGGGAAUGCUGCGAUCUUGCUCUUUCAGCUCAAAAAUCUACUUUCUGGAACCAGGUCAUGGACUUGCAGGACUUUCCAUCUACAAUUUUGUUUAGGGAAUUGAGAUCAGAUGAACAGGGCCGAGGAAGCUGUAGGCAGACAGAAUUAGUGAUAAUUCUUUCCCACAAUACUGCACUCCAUUCUUCUAACAUACCUCAAGUGCAUGCCCUCGGCCAAAACAGAUCUGGCAAGAGGAAGAUUAACAAUGAUGACAAAAAUAGUUCCUGACUUGAUAAAACAAAUAUCAACUGGGACAAGAACAAGAACUGCCCAUAAACCAACCUUGGGAUCUAACAUGUUCUUCAUUAGGACAGGAUUGCACCAUCUUAAGUAUGUCACCUCAUGCUAACUCUGAAGUUAGACCUUAAACCACUGCCCUUGAACUUAGUCAAUAUUUGCAAACUGUGAAAAAAAGAGGAUACAGAUCAGCAUGAGGGGUAAAUGUAAGAUAUUCUGAAAUAACUUUUUUUUUUUUCGUUUUUCUCUAAGCUCCUAAGUCUCUAUUUGUUGAUCUUUCAGAACCAACCUUUGGAGACUAGGUUACUUAGGCAGAUGUUUCAUGUAAUAUUGUGUGCAUUGGGAGGGUGGGGUGGUGGUAAAUUUUCAUUGAAUAAAACAUGGCUUUGUCUGGGUCUGGGCUGCCUAAUUUCCUCUCAAGAUAAAGAUGAGCUCAUUUGAGCCUAUCCGUCUCCAGAUCAGUAAACACU